ACCAAGCUCUUGAACUAACAGAGA
RNAcentral lists this non-coding RNA (24 nucleotides) under Cricetulus griseus (Chinese hamster). The record is from RNAcentral. Lineage: Eukaryota; Metazoa; Chordata; Mammalia; Rodentia; Cricetidae.